Molecule: ribosomal RNA, 393 nt
Filed under: uncultured bacterium
Lineage: Bacteria
Description: partial 16S ribosomal RNA
Rfam family: Bacterial small subunit ribosomal RNA
Source: RNAcentral
AUACGGAGGACGCGAGCGUUAUCCGGAUUCAUUGGGUUUAAAGGGUGCGCAGGCGGCCGUGCAAGUCAGCGGUGAAAGCCCGGGGCUCAACCCCGGAAGUGCCGUUGAUACUGCAUAGCUGGAAUGCGGUCGAGGCGGGCGGGACGGGGGGUGGUGCGGGGGAAUGCGGAGAUAUGCCACAGAACGGCGAUAGCGGAGGCAGCUCGCCAGGCCUGCAUUGACGCUCGGGCACGAAAGCGUGGGGAUCGAACAGGAUUAGAUACCCUGGUAGUCCACGCAGUAAACGAUGAUGGCUAACCGCUGGGCUUAUCAGUUCAGUGGCCAAGCGAAAGCGAUAAGCCAUCCACCUGGGGAGUACGACCGCAAGGUUGAAACUCAAAUGAAUUGACGGGG